RNAcentral lists this ribosomal RNA (425 nucleotides) under uncultured bacterium. Its description in RNAcentral is "bacterial SSU rRNA". It matches the Rfam family "Bacterial small subunit ribosomal RNA", at positions 354 to 796 of the family's 1533-position model. The record is from RNAcentral.
GUGGGGAAUAUUGGACAAUGGGCGCGAGCCUGAUCCAGCCAUGCCGCGUGAGUGAUGAAGGCCUUAGGGUUGUAAAGCUCUUUCAGUAGGGAAGAUAAUGACGGUACCUACAGAAGAAGCCCCGGCUAACUUCGUGCCAGCAGCCGCGGUAAUACGAAGGGGGCUAGCGUUGUUCGGAUUUACUGGGCGUAAAGCGCACGUAGGCGGAUUGUUAAGUCAGAGGUGAAAUCCUGGAGCUCAACUCCAGAACUGCCUUUGAUACUGGCAAUCUCGAGUCCGGAAGAGGUGAGUGGAACUCCUAGUGUAGAGGUGGAAUUCGUAGAUAUUAGGAAGAACACCAGUGGCGAAGGCGGCUCACUGGUCCGGUACUGACGCUGAGGUGCGAAAGCGUGGGGAGCAAACAGGAUUAGAAACCCGGGUAGUCC